AUACCAUGGUGAGGGCACUUCCUUUGCAAUUCCUGAAAAUUCCUCUCAUGCCUCAUAGAGUGAAUCACCAUCCUUUUGAGUGAAGUUCUGAAUCUCCCGCCUUAGUCU
This is a small nucleolar RNA of Argentina anserina (silverweed cinquefoil), 108 nucleotides long. The record is from RefSeq and is a predicted model, not a curated record. NCBI's taxonomy places the organism in Eukaryota, Viridiplantae, Streptophyta, Magnoliopsida, Rosales, Rosaceae.